Molecule: ribosomal RNA, 253 nt
Filed under: uncultured bacterium
Lineage: Bacteria
Description: partial 16S ribosomal RNA
Rfam family: Bacterial small subunit ribosomal RNA
Source: RNAcentral
UACAGAGGUCCCGAGCGUUGUUCGGAUUCACUGGGCGUAAAGGGUGCGUAGGCGGUUGGGUAAGUCUGAUGUGAAAUCCCGCAGCUUAACUGCGGAACUGCAUCGGAUACUAUCCAGCUAGAGGAGUGGAGGGGAGACUGGAAUUCUCGGUGUAGCAGUGAAAUGCGUAGAUAUCGAGAGGAACACCAGUGGCGAAGGCGAGUCUCUGGACACCUCCUGACGCUGAGGCACGAAAGCCAGGGGAGCAAACGGG